CUGCCUUUGGUGUAAGUGGCAUAUAUGUCUUCCAAACAUGGGGUUUCCUUAGGGGGAAAAGGUAGA
This 66-nucleotide transfer RNA is filed under the name Mimachlamys senatoria. RNAcentral describes it as "tRNA-Gly". Lineage: Eukaryota; Metazoa; Mollusca; Bivalvia; Pectinida; Pectinidae. The record is from RNAcentral.